RNAcentral lists this ribosomal RNA (253 nucleotides) under uncultured prokaryote. RNAcentral describes it as "partial 16S ribosomal RNA". It matches the Rfam family "Bacterial small subunit ribosomal RNA", at positions 525 to 777 of the family's 1533-position model. The record is from RNAcentral.
ACAGAGGGGGCGAGCGUUGUUCGGAAUUACUGGGCGUAAAGGGCGCGUAGGCGGCCUGCUAUGUCGAACGUGAAAUCCCCGGGCUCAACCCGGGAACUGCGUCCGAAACUGGCAGGCUCGAAUCCGGGAGAGGGAUGUGGAAUUCCAGGUGUAGCGGUGAAAUGCGUAGAGAUGCGGAGGAACACCGAUGGCGAAGGCAGCCCCCUGGGCUAGCACUGACGCUCAGGCACGAAAGCGUGGGGAGCAAACAGGA